This 404-nucleotide ribosomal RNA is filed under the name uncultured bacterium. Its description in RNAcentral is "bacterial SSU rRNA". It matches the Rfam family "Bacterial small subunit ribosomal RNA", at positions 355 to 776 of the family's 1533-position model. The record is from RNAcentral.
UGGGGAAUAUUGCACAAUGGAGGGAACUCUGAUGCAGCGACGCCGCGUGAAGGAAGAAGGUUUUCGGAUUGUAAACUUCUAUCAGCAGGGACGAAAAUGACGGUACCUGACUAAGAAGCCCCGGCUAACUACGUGCCAGCAGCCGCGGUAAUACGUAGGGGGCAAGCGUUAUCCGGAAUUACUGGGUGUAAAGGGUGCGUAGGCGGUAAUGUAAGUCAGGUGUGAAAGCCCGAGGCUCAACUUCGGGAUUGCACUUGAAACUACAUAACUAGAGUACAGGAGAGGUGAGUGGAAUUCCUAGUGUAGCGGUGAAAUGCGUAGAUAUUAGGAGGAACACCAGUGGCGAAGGCGACUCACUAGACUGUAACUGACGCUGAGGCACGAAAGCGUGGGUAGCGAACAGG